Non-coding RNA from Thalassospira alkalitolerans, 74 nucleotides. NCBI's taxonomy places the organism in Bacteria, Pseudomonadati, Pseudomonadota, Alphaproteobacteria, Rhodospirillales, Thalassospiraceae. The record is from Rfam.
GGUCCCUUAGCUCAACUGGAUAGAGCAACAGACUUCUAAUCUGUAGGUUGCAGGUUCAAGUCCUGCAGGGAUCG